CUGUAGUGUAUUUCGGAAAAGGCGGGCCCGCCGCAGGCCUUCUUCUUCUUCCCUUGCUCCGCUCCGGCAGUUCUCCAGUCUCCACCACCGCGAUCUGCCCGUCCUCCAUUUGCGGCGGCGAUGGCGCUCUCCUCCUCCCGGCCGCACCGCCUCCUGCGACCGCUCCUCCGCGGCUUCCACGCCUCCGCGCCGGCCCUGGCGCGCGCGGAGCCGCACGAGUUCUCCAAGCCUAGCGGCUACCUGGGCAGCUGGGAGCCCGCGGGGGAGCCCCGUGAGGCGUGGGCGCGGCUGGACCGGCUGCGCAAGGGGUACGCGCGCGACGUGCAGAAGCUGCGGCGGGAGUACGCGUACGAGGUGCAGCUGAUGGAGGCCGAGCGGCAGCGGAAGGCCGAGGCGCGCGCCGAGGCCGCCCGCGUCGCCAACGAGGAGCGCAAGGCGGCCAAGGCCGCCGCCGCGCAGACCCGCGCGGCCGAGCGGCGCGCGUUCGAGGAGGACUUCCGACAGGCCCUUAUGAAAGAAAGAGCUGAGAAGCUGGAGAGCUGGCGGAAAAAGGAGAAGCUUCGGGAGCAGAAGAAGGCGGAGCAGAAGGAGCUCCUGCGCAAGAAGAGCAGUUUGUGGCUUUCUCAAGAUAAACUUGAAGAUCAAAUACUCGAUGCUAUCAGGAACACCACUCCUCUAUAAGCUUUGGUAAAUGUUGUGCAGAAAGGAAAGUACCAGAUUCUUCACUUUUCAGGAAGCCAAUGGGGUUGCACGAACCAGGAGGAUGAACAUUGCAGAGACGCCUCUGUCAUUCCCCCUGAGAAUUUUAUCAAAGGCAGCAGCCAGCAUAAUGAGUAAUAAGAUUGAACUUCCGCUUUCAGAUGUAAUGACGUGUGUUUAUUAGAUAGACUUAGAUUGGGUUUACACAAUGUGCUUUUGGUUUUUGGAAUUGAUUGCACGUUAAGGAGAUGAUGGCUCUACCCAAUUCAUGAUUGAGCAGAAAUGGUUUAUAGCUGGGUGCACUUGUGAACUGCCUCUGUCCAAAGAUGCUGAAAUCUAAUUUGCAUAGAUUGUUGGCAAGAUCUGGAUGAUACAGACAAUGCAGUCCUGAUAUAUGCCU
Panicum virgatum (switchgrass) is the source of this 1099-nucleotide RNA transcript. RefSeq lists it as uncharacterized. NCBI's taxonomy places the organism in Eukaryota, Viridiplantae, Streptophyta, Magnoliopsida, Poales, Poaceae. The transcript has 4 exons. The record is from RefSeq and is a predicted model, not a curated record.